AGAUGGAGGUGCCCCAAUUGACCUUAUGAGAGGUAAAUCUUUAUCAUUAUUUUUAUUGUAUAUGUAUAUAUUCAUGUGAAAAUUCACUACAUGUUAUGCUGAGUAAACUGUAUAUAUGUGUUUCUAAAAGAUAGACUGUGAUGUUGAUGAGGAAAGGUCAAGUCACAAAAGUUGUAGAGGGUGUACAGGAGGUUAAAAACGCAUAAUGCACCUCUUGUGCCUACUUUUGUUGCAGCAAGAGUCGCUUUAAGGACUAUGAGUGGCACUUGGAUUUAUUAUAUGCCGAAUGCAUAGCCCAAAUCUCCAAUCAUCAUUCUAGUUUAAUGAUUAAACAGAUUGAAAGUUUCAUCUUUUUGACUUUAUGUUGACUCUACAUAAAAUCUAGACCGCAUGAUCAUGUUUUUUUUAUUAACGGCCUGAGCUUGAUCACUUCUUUCAAUUAGAAUCUGGAUGCACUUGCCAUCUUUCACCCCCAGUACACAAAUCCCUACAGUGUUGGCAAUAGCAUCUGCAGAGGCUCUGAGCAUGGAGGUGGUGGACGAUAAGACUAUCUAACUAGUCAUCCUUUGUUCAGGUUUUAAGGUGCCCAUGCAUUGGAAGCUCUUUUCAAAAGUGCUUGUUGCUAUAUGACAGGUGAUGAUUAGACUUCAAAAUUUGUGUCUAGGAAUUGUGUUUUAGAGAAGAGAAAAAAAACUCUUUGGAAUUAAUGAGAGAAGAACUAGAAGACAAUAGAGGAUACAUAUAUAUAUGUAUAUAUGUAUAUUC
RNAcentral lists this long non-coding RNA (765 nucleotides) under Carica papaya (papaya). RNAcentral describes it as "long non-coding RNA (CPAP_LNC002613)". The record is from RNAcentral. Lineage: Eukaryota; Viridiplantae; Streptophyta; Magnoliopsida; Brassicales; Caricaceae.